Molecule: long non-coding RNA, 818 nt
Filed under: Salmo salar (Atlantic salmon)
Lineage: Eukaryota; Metazoa; Chordata; Actinopteri; Salmoniformes; Salmonidae
Description: lncRNA (ENSSSAG00000105587.1)
Source: RNAcentral
GUACUGUAUCAGAGUGAAGGCAGACGCCAGAGACACGGGGAGGUACUGUAUCAGAGUGAAGGCAGACGCCAGAGACACGGGGAGGUACUGUAUCAGAGUGAAGGCAGACAGAGACACGGGGAGGUACUGUAUCAGAGUGAAGGCAGACGCCAGAGACACGGGGAGGUACUGUAUCAGAGUGAAGGCAGACGCCAGAGACACGGGGAGGUUCUGUAUCAGAGUGAAGGCAGACGCCAGAGACACGGGGAGGUACUGUAUCAGAGUGAAGGCAGACGCCAGAGACACGGGGAGGUACUGUAUCAGAGUGAAGGCAGACAGAGACACGGGGAGGUACUGUAUCAGAGUGAAGGCAGACGCCAGAGACACGGGGAGGUACUGUAUCAGAGUGAAGGCAGACGCCAGAGACACGGGGAGGUACUGUAUCAGAGUGAAGGCAGACAGAGACACGGGGAGGUACUGUAUCAGAGUGAAGGCAGACAGAGACACGGGGAGGUACUGUAUCAGAGUGAAGGCAGACAGAGACACGGGGAGGUACUGUAUCAGAGUGAAGGCAGACAGAGACACGGGGAGGUUCUGUAUCAGAGUGAAGGCAGACAGAGACACGGGGAGGUACUGUAUCAGAGUAAAGGCAGACAGAGACACGGGGAGGUACUGUAUCAGAGUGAAGGCAGACAGAGACACGGGGAGGUACUGUAUCAGAGUGAAGGCAGACAGAGACACGGGGAGGUACUGUAUCAGAGUGAAGGCAGACAGAGACACGGGGAGGUACUGUAUCAGAGUGAAGGCAGACAGAGACACGGGGAGGUACUGUAUCAGAG